Molecule: transfer RNA, 64 nt
Filed under: Synacanthotermes sp. TB-2014
Lineage: Eukaryota; Metazoa; Arthropoda; Insecta; Blattodea; Termitidae
Description: tRNA-Asp
Source: RNAcentral
GAGGGGUUAGUUAAAUAAAUAACAUCAGAAUGUCAAGCUGAAAUAAUCGAAUAGAUACCCCUCU